Long non-coding RNA from Girardinichthys multiradiatus, 710 nucleotides. RefSeq lists it as uncharacterized. The transcript has 2 exons. Lineage: Eukaryota; Metazoa; Chordata; Actinopteri; Cyprinodontiformes; Goodeidae. The record is from RefSeq and is a predicted model, not a curated record.
GCCAGCACUUCAAUAUUUUGAAAGCCUAAGCUUUGGAUCUAUGUCACUGAGUUUUCUGGACUACGUUUCUGAAAGUUACUCUGGAUGAUCAAGCCUGUCUUUGUUCUGAGGAUUCCUAUCCUGUGAUCUACCUUUGUUUGGAUUCACAUCAAGUUGGCAGCUUCCUGUCCUCUUCGUCUCCUGAGCCAAGCCACAAGCGUACCCUGUCCACCCUCUGAUGUAGCCACCGCACAUCAAACUUUUUUACUGUAACCUGAGCACCACAGAACAGCACCAAGUGAACUCUCUACGGAUAUACCUGCUUAAGACCUGGAUCCUGAAUCUCAUUCCCCCUGGCGACCUGACCAUCAUAACUCAGUAAGCCAAUCUCAGUAUCAAAAUAACUAUUUGCUCUUAGUUUCAUUUUUCCCUCCGUUACCGGUACUCAUCCAUUCUCUUCACUUCUGUCCUUUAUAGUGAGAUAUUUUGUCCGUUCUGUUCUUGACUAUAUCUUCAAUAAACAAUCUUUAUUUUACUUUCUCCUCCUGCGUGUUCUCUUUAUGUGUGUCCGAGCUAUUUCGAACAUAAUGACAGAAGGAACCUUCCCAAAGUAACCAGUGUUUUUUUCUCCAGUGAAACCUAAGAAGCCUGUGUACGUACCCGUGGUUGCCAGACCAAGGAACCCCUGAACUGAAUUCUGAGCUGUACUAAUAAACCUUUCCUCAACCAUA